This 686-nucleotide unclassified non-coding RNA is filed under the name Hevea brasiliensis (rubber tree). The record is from RNAcentral. Lineage: Eukaryota; Viridiplantae; Streptophyta; Magnoliopsida; Malpighiales; Euphorbiaceae.
CUUGAAUGCAAUUUCACUUGCAAUUCAAGCCCAAAUCAGGCAAGGUUACACAAAGAAGGCCAUAGGGCUAAUUACAAAGGAACCCUAAACCCAUACAGCAAACCUUAGCCCCAUUCCCAAUCUCAAGACAAAACUUGUGAAGCGUCGUUCAUAGGAAAACGAUGAAUCAGAGAAGCAACUGGAGUCCAUGAAGAGGAGUCCUCAGAGGCAUGCAUGGUUGAAACAACCAAACAAAGCCAAGAAGAAAAACUAAAGAUUCAACAAAACAUAUCAUCUCCUCUUGAGGGAAAUACUGGGCUAUUUAAACCGUCGACUUAGGAAAGAAGAGGGAUAGAGGGCAUGGUAUCUCACUUUCCUCCAGCCAUAAAGCACUAGCAACAGCCUCUAAGCAAGAGGCUCUUAAUCCUCAAGUCGCCUCCCUUUGGCUCCGCUCCUAGAGUUGAAACCUACACUCAACCACAUGAAUCCCAUAAACCAGAGACAAAGAUCCCCAAAACCAAAUCCCUGUAACGGAAGCUCUGGAUCUACAACACCAAGAACAAAACCCCAAAACACAUAUCUACACCCAUCCCAGAGGGUGGUGGGGAGGGAAGUAGGCCCACACUCAUGGUGGGAGAAAAUAGAUUCCCCCAUCCAGAAGGGCAGGAGAGCCCACCAAAAAAGGGAACUUUAGCUUGCCCGAAGAA